RNAcentral lists this ribosomal RNA (491 nucleotides) under uncultured bacterium. RNAcentral's name for it is "partial 16S ribosomal RNA". It matches the Rfam family "Bacterial small subunit ribosomal RNA", at positions 29 to 507 of the family's 1533-position model. The record is from RNAcentral.
AGUGAACGCUGGCGGCAGGCCUAACACAUGCGAGUCGAACGGCAGCACAGUAAGAGCUUGCUCUUACGGUUGCGGGGUGCGGGCGGGGUGAGGAUACAUCCGGAACCUAUUUUUCGGGGGGGGUUACGGAAGGGAAAUUAACCUAAUACCGCAUACGGCCUACCGGGUGAAACAAGGGGACUUCCGGCCUUUGCCGGAUUGAUUGGGCGAUGUCGGAUUAGCUAGUUGGGGGGGUAAAGGCCCACCAAGGCGACGAUCCGUAGCUGGGCUGAGAGGAUGAUCAGCCACACUGGAACUGAGACACGGUCCAGACUCCUACGGGAGGCAGCAGUGGGGAAUAUUGGACAAUGGGCGCAAGCCUGACCCAGCCAUACCGCGUGGGUGAAGAAGGCCUUCGGGUUGUAAAGCCCUUUUGUUGGGAAAGAAAAGCAGCAGGUUAAUACCCCGCUGUUCUGACGGUACCCAAAGAAUAAGCACCGGCUAACUUCGUG